CAGUAUCCAGAGUACCAGCGGACACGUGAAACCCGCUGGGAAGAUGGGGGGACCAUCCUCCAAGCCUAAAUACUACUCAGUGACCGAUAGUGGAGCAGUACCGUGAGGGAAAGGUGAAAAGUACCCCGGGAGGGGAGUGAAAAAGAACCUGAAACCUUGUGCCUACAAGCACCGAGAGCACGUUAAAGUGUGAUCGGGUACUUUUUGUAGAACGGUCCGGCGAGUUAAUAUUUGCAGCGAGGUUAAGGAACUGGAGUUCCGGAGCCGCAGCGAGAGCGAGUCUGAAAAGGGCGUAUGAAGUUGCAGGUAUUAGACCCGAAACCGGGUGACCUAUCCAUGAGCAGGCUGAAGCGGUGGUAAGACACCGUGGAGGGCCGCACCCACGUCUGUUGAAAAAGCCGGGGAUGACUUGUGGAUAGCGGAGAAAUUCCAAUCGAACUCGGAGAUAGCUGGUUCUCCCCGAAAUAGCUUUAGGGCUAGCGUUAUUUUAGAUUACCGGAGGUAAAGCACUGAAUGGUCUAGGGGCCGCGAGGUUACCAAAGCCUAUCAAACUCUGAAUGCCGGAUAAUUGAUGAAUAGCAGUCAGACUGUGUGAGAUAAGUCUCAUAGUCAAAAGGGAAACAGCCCAGAUCUACAGCUAAGGUCCCAAAUGAACACUAAGUGGAAAAUGAUGUGAAACUGCGAAGACAACCAGGAUGUUGGCUUAGAAGCAGCCACUCAUUCAAAGAGUGCGUAAUAGCUCACUGGUCGAGUGGUUUUGCGCAGAAAAUGUAACGGGGCUAAGUGUUCAACCGAAGCUUAGGCAUUGCAGUAAUGCNNNNNNNNNNGAGUGGUUUUGCGCAGAAAAUGUAACGGGGCUAAGUGUUCAACCGAAGCUUAGGCAUUGUACUUUGUACAUUGGGUAGGGGAGCGUCGUAUGCGGGGCGAAGUCAGAGCGGAAGCACUGGUGGACUGCAUACGAGUGAGAAUGCCGGAAUAAGUAGCGAGAAUUAUGUGAGAAUCAUAAUGGCCGAAAAUCUAAGGUUUCUUGGGGAAGGUUCGUCCGCCCAAGGUUAGUCGGGAGCUAAGCUCAGGCCGAAAGGCGUAGGCGAUGCACAUACGGUAGAAAUUCCGUAACCACCGAACAUUUAAGCUAGAGGGACGCUUUCUUUAAGGUUAUCCCGGGCGAUGGUUGCCCCGGGCGUAAGGGACCGAAAUUUAGUAGGGAAGUAGACGGCGUGNNNNNNNNNNNNNNNNNNNNNNNNNNNNNNNNNNNNNNNNNNNNNNNNNNNNNNNNNNNNNNNNNNNNNNNNNNNNNNNNNNNNNNNNNNNNNNNNACAUACGGUAGAAAUUCCGUAACCACCGAACAUUUAAGCUAGAGGGACGCUUUCUUUAAAGUUAUCCCGGGCGAUGGUUGCCCCGGGCGUAAGGGACCGAAAAAUAGUAGGGAAGUAACUGGCGAGAGAGACGAGAAAAGCUCUAGUGUAUACUAAGGUGCCCGUACCGCAAACCGACACAGGUAGAUGGGAUGAGUAUUCUAAGGCCAACGGGAGAAGGGUUGUUAAGGAACUCGGCAAAUUGGCCCCGUAACUUCGGGAUAAGGGGCGCCUGCGAGAGCAGGCCGCAGUGAAAAGGCCCAAGCGACUGUUUAGCAAAAACACAGCUCUCUGCUAAAUCGAAAGAUGACGUAUAGGGGGUGACGCCUGCCCGGUGCUGGAAGGUUAAGGGGAGUGCUUAGCGCAAGCGAAGGUGCGAACUUAAGCCCCAGUAAACGGCGGCCGUAACUAUAACGGUCCUAAGGUAGCGAAAUUCCUUGUCAGGUAAGUUCUGACCCGCACGAAUGGCGUAACGAUUUGGGCACUGUCUCAACAGCCCGCCCGGCGAAAUUGUAGUACCGGUGAAGAUGCCGGUUUCCCGCAACUAGACGGAAAGACCCCAUGGAGCUUCACUGUAGCUUGAUAUUGGAUCUCGGUAUUCCAUGUACAGGAUAGGUGGGAGGCUAGGAAGCGAGCGCGCCAGCGUUCGUGGAGCCAACCUUGGGAUACCACUCUUGGGAUAUUGGGAUUCUAACCUGCGACCAUGAAUCUGGUCGGGGGACACUGUCAGGUGGGCAGUUUGACUGGGGCGGUCGCCUCCAAAAGAGUAACGGAGGCGCUCAAAGGUUCGUUCAGCACGGAUGGAAAUCGUGCACUGAGUGUAAACGCAUAAACGAGCCUAACUGCGAGAAUGACGGUUCGAGCAGUAACGAAAGUUGGAGUUAGUGAUCCGGCGGUAUGUGAAUGGAAAUGCCGUCGCUCAACGGAUAAAAGCUACCCUGGGGAUAACAGGCUGAUCUCCCCCAAGAGUCCACAUCGACGGGGAGGUUUGGCACCUCGAUGUCGGCUCAUCGCAUCCUGGGGCUGAAUUCGGUCCCAAGGGUUUGGCUGUUCGCCAAUUAAAGCGGUACGCGAGCUGGGUUCAGAACGUCGUGAGACAGUUCGGUCCCUAUCUGUUGCGGGCGCAGGAAUAUUGAGAGGAGCUGUCCUUAGUACGAGAGGACCGGGAUGGACGUACCGCUGGUGCACCAGUUGUUCUGCCAAGGGCAUAGCUGGGUAGCUAAGUACGGACGAGAUAAACGCUGAAGGCAUCUAAGCGUGAAACUCCCCUCGAGAUAAGUGUUCCCAUCCUUCGGGAGUAAGGCCCCUUGUAGACUACAAGGUUGAUAGGUCAGGAGUGGAAGUGCAGUAAUGUAUGGAGCGGACUGAUACUAAUAGGCCGAGGGCUUGACCUUA
RNAcentral lists this ribosomal RNA (2750 nucleotides) under Butyricicoccus sp. AF24-19AC. RNAcentral describes it as "partial 23S ribosomal RNA". It matches the Rfam family "Bacterial large subunit ribosomal RNA", at positions 401 to 2925 of the family's 2925-position model. Lineage: Bacteria; Bacillati; Bacillota; Clostridia; Eubacteriales; Butyricicoccaceae. The record is from RNAcentral.